UCGAGGAUCUUCGGCAAUGGGCGCAAGCCUGACCGAGCGACGCCGCGUGCGCGAUGAAGGCCUUCGGGUUGUAAAGCGCUGUCGAGGGGGAGGAAGCCGCAAGGUUGACCUAUCCCUGGAGGAAGCACGGGCUAAGUUCGUGCCAGUAGCCGCGGUAAGACGAACCGUGCGAACGUUGUUCGGAAUCACUGGGCUUAAAGGGCGCGUAGGCGGACUGGCCAGUCCGGGGUGAAAUCGUCCGGCUUAACCGGACAUGGGCCUUGGAUACUGCCAGUCUGGAGCGAGGUAGGGGCCCGCGGAACUUCCGGUGGAGCGGUGAAAUGCGUUGAUAUCGGAAGGAACGCCGGUGGCGAAAGCGGCGGGCUGGACCUCGGCUGACGCUGAGGCGCGAAAGCCAGGGGAGCGAACGGGAUUAGAUACCCCGGUAGUCCUGGCCCUAAACGAUGGGUACUAGGUUGUGGACCAGGCAUGGGUUCCCAGCCGGAGCAAAAGUGUUAAGUACCCCGCCUGGGGA
Molecule: ribosomal RNA, 514 nt
Filed under: uncultured Planctomycetota bacterium
Lineage: Bacteria; Pseudomonadati; Planctomycetota
Description: bacterial SSU rRNA
Rfam family: Bacterial small subunit ribosomal RNA
Source: RNAcentral